GGCAGCAGGCACGCAAAUUACCCAAUCCCGGCUCGGGGAGGUAGUGACGAAAAAUAACAAUACGGGACUCAUCCGAGGCCCCGUAAUUGGAAUGACUACAAUUUAAAUCCUUUAAGAAGGAUCCAUUGGAGGGCAAGUCUGGUGCCAGCAGCCGCGGUAAUUCCAGCUCCAAUAGCGUAUAUUAAAGUUGCUGCAGUUAAAAAGCUCGUAGUUGGAUCUCAGUUACAGUCAGGUGGUUCACUUUACAGUGCUACUGUCUGAACUGAACCUAUUGCUGGAUCUCUUGGGUGCCCUUCACUGGGUGCCCCUUGAGACCAGAACGUUUACUUUGAGAAAAUUAGAGUGCUCAAAGCAGGCGAAUGCCUGAAUACUUGUGCAUGGAAUAAUGAAAUAUGGCCUCGGUGCUGUUUUAUUGGUUUACAGUGCUCGAGGUAAUGGUUGAAAGGGACAGACGGGGGCAUUCGUAUUGCGACGUUAGAGGUGAAAUUCUUAGAUCGUCGCAAGACGGACUACUGCGAAAGCAUUUGCCAAGAAUGUUUUCAUUAAUCAAGAACGAAAGUCAGAGGUUCGAAGGCGAUCAGAUACCGCCCUAGUUCUGACCUUAAACGAUGCUAACUGGCGAUCCAGUGGGGGUAUUUAAAUGACCUGCUGGGCAGCUUCUGGGAAACCAAAGUUUUUGGGUUCCGGGGGAAGUAUGGUUGCAAAGCUGGAACUUAAAGGAAUUGACGGAAGGGCACCACCAGGAGUGGAGCCUGUGGCUUAAUUUGACUCAACACGGGAAACCUCACCAGGCCCAGACACUAGAAGGAUUGACAGAUUGAGAGCUCUUUCUUGAUUUGGUGGAUGGUGGUGCAUGGCCGUUCUUAGUUGGUGGAGUGAUUUGUCUGGUUAAUUCCGAUAACGAACGAGACUGUAGCCUACUAAAUAGGCGGCGGAUAUUUAAUAGUCCGCAAUGUCUUCUUAGAGGGACAAGGCAGCUUCAAGCUGCAUGAAAA
Molecule: ribosomal RNA, 995 nt
Filed under: Fabaeformiscandona fabaeformis
Lineage: Eukaryota; Metazoa; Arthropoda; Ostracoda; Podocopida; Candonidae
Description: SSU rRNA
Rfam family: Eukaryotic small subunit ribosomal RNA
Source: RNAcentral